RNAcentral lists this ribosomal RNA (374 nucleotides) under uncultured bacterium. RNAcentral's name for it is "bacterial SSU rRNA". It matches the Rfam family "Bacterial small subunit ribosomal RNA", at positions 525 to 896 of the family's 1533-position model. The record is from RNAcentral.
ACGUAGGGACCAAGCGUUGUUCGGAUUUACUGGGCGUAAAGGGCGCGUAGGCGGCUUAACAAGUCACUUGUGAAAUCUCUGGGCUUAACCCAGAACGGCCAAGUGAAACUGUUAUGCUAGAGUGCAGAAGGGGCAAUCGGAAUUCUUGGUGUAGCGGUGAAAUGCGUAGAUAUCAAGAGGAACACCUGAGGUGAAGACGGGUUGCUGGGCUGACACUGACGCUGAGGCGCGAAAGCCAGGGGAGCAAACGGGAUUAGAUACCCCGGUAGUCCUGGCCCUAAACGAUGAAUACUUGGUGUCUGGAGUUAUUAGUGCUCCGGGUGCCGUCGCUAACGUUUUUAGUAUUCCGCCUGGGGAGUACGCUCGCAAGAGUG